UAUUCAGUUCCUCUGUAACACCCCGGUCAUGGGUUCCAAAGGAAACCAGACUAAACCGGCAGUAUUAUCUAACCUAACCAAUAAUUCCUGAAUAAUCCUUAAAUCUUAUUCCAAAUCAAACCAAAUCCAGUCUUACAAUAGAAAUGAAUAACUUGAAUAAAUCCGAAAAUAAUCAUAAAACAAUAUCUUAAAAGAAAAUACAAAAAAAAAGUUCCUAAAGCGAUAAAAAUCUUCCUCCAUCUCUAAAAGCACACCACACUAGAGCUACUCGUCUAGUUCCUCCCAGACAUCAUCACAAUCACAUUCAUCACACUCACCUGAAAGACGGAUUUAUAAGAGAGGGGUGAGUAAUUUGGGGAAAUUACUCAGUGAGAACCAAACCAGACUCCCUUCCCACUCAUUUAUUUUCCACCAACAUGUCAAGAAUAAAUCCAACAAGCAACACACAAGCAUCCUAGCGAUGCACAAACAACUAGCCGGCAAUGAUGUCUCCAACCCGCCUAUCACACAAGGCCACACCUCCCAGUCACACAGCUUCACAAUAUUUAGUUGCUCUGUAACACGCCGGUCCUGGGUUCCAAAGGAAACCAGACUAAACCGGCAGUAUUAUGUAACCUAACCAAUAAUUCCUGAAUAAUCCUUAAAUCUUAUUUCAAAUCAAGCCAAAUCCAGUCUUACAAUAGAAAUGAAUAACUUGAAUAAAUCCGAAAAUAAUCAGAAAACAAUAUCUUAAAAGAAAAUACAAAAAAAAGUUCUUAAAGCGAUAAAAAUCUUCCUCCCUCUCUAAAAGCACA
RNAcentral lists this long non-coding RNA (794 nucleotides) under Eutrema salsugineum. RNAcentral's name for it is "long non-coding RNA (ESAL_LNC000002)". Lineage: Eukaryota; Viridiplantae; Streptophyta; Magnoliopsida; Brassicales; Brassicaceae. The record is from RNAcentral.